CAUGCAAGUUGAGCGCUGAAGGUUGGUACUUGUACCGACUGGAUGAGCAGCGAACGGGUGAGUAACGCGUGGGGAAUCUGCCUUUGAGCGGGGGACAACAUUUGGAAACGAAUGCUAAUACCGCAUAAAAACUUUAAACACAAGUUUUAAGUUUGAAAGAUGCAAUUGCAUCACUCAAAGAUGAUCCCGCGUUGUAUUAGCUAGUUGGUGAGGUAAAGGCUCACCAAGGCGAUGAUACAUAGCCGACCUGAGAGGGUGAUCGGCCACAUUGGGACUGAGACACGGCCCAAACUCCUACGGGAGGCAGCAGUAGGGAAUCUUCGGCAAUGGACGAAAGUCUGACCGAGCAACGCCGCGUGAGUGAAGAAGGUUUUCGGAUCGUAAAACUCUGUUGGUAGAGAAGAACGUUGGUGAGAGUGGAAAGCUCAUCAAGUGACGGUAACUACCCAGAAAGGGACGGCUAACUACGUGCCAGCAGCCGCGGUAAUACGUAGGUCCCGAGCGUUGUCCGGAUUUAUUGGGCGUAAAGCGAGCGCAGGUGGUUUAUUAAGUCUGGUGUAAAAGGCAGUGGCUCAACCAUUGUAUGCAUUGGAAACUGGUAGACUUGAGUGCAGGAGAGGAGAGUGGAAUUCCAUGUGUAGCGGUGAAAUGCGUAGAUAUAUGGAGGAACACCGGUGGCGAAAGCGGCUCUCUGGCCUGUAACUGACACUGAGGCUCGAAAGCGUGGGGAGCAAACAGGAUUAGAUACCCUGGUAGUCCACGCCGUAAACGAUGAGUGCUAGAUGUAGGGAGCUAUAAGUUCUCUGUAUCGCAGCUAACGCAAUAAGCACUCCGCCUGGGGAGUACGACCGCAAGGUUGAAACUCAAAGGAAUUGACGGGGGCCCGCACAAGCGGUGGAGCAUGUGGUUUAAUUNGAAGCAACGCGAAGAACCUUACCAGGUCUUGACAUACUCGUGCUAUUCCUAGAGAUAGGAAGUUCCUUCGGGACACGGGAUACAGGUGGUGCAUGGUUGUCGUCAGCUCGUGUCGUGAGAUGUUGGGUUAAGUCCCGCAACGAGCGCAACCCCUAUUGUUAGUUGCCAUCAUUAAGUUGGGCACUCUAACGAGACUGCCGGUGAUAAACCGGAGGAAGGUGGGGAUGACGUCAAAUCAUCAUGCCCCUUAUGACCUGGGCUACACACGUGCUACAAUGGAUGGUACAACGAGUCGCGAGACAGUGAUGUUUAGCUAAUCUCUUAAAACCAUUCUCAGUUCGGAUUGUAGGCUGCAACUCGCCUACAUGAAGUNGGAAUCGCUAGUAAUCGCGGAUCAGCACGCCGCGGUGAAUACGUUCCCGGGCCUUGUACACACCGCCCGUCACACCACGGGAGUUGGGAGUACCCGAAGUAGGUUGCCUAACCGCAAGGAGGGCGCUUCCUAAGGUAAGACCGAUGA
Molecule: ribosomal RNA, 1435 nt
Filed under: uncultured bacterium
Lineage: Bacteria
Description: 16S ribosomal RNA
Rfam family: Bacterial small subunit ribosomal RNA
Source: RNAcentral